GGCCAACCUGAAUUACAGAGCAAAACCCUGUCUCAAAAAAAAAAUUCCAUGUUACUGAGCAUACAGAGAAGUAGGUAAUCACAUGAGGGUCCUGCUGUACAUACCUAUCCACAUGUAUGUAUACUGUUAUGGUAUCUAUCACAUUUUAAAAUGCACAUUGCGUUUGAAGCCAGAAAUUCUACUUCUAACUAUCCAAGACUCAUAGAGAAGGUACUUGCUGCAGUAGUUCAGCCUCCCAGAGUGCUGGGAUUACAGGUAUAGACCACCCCGGCAAGCUGAGAAAAGACUCACUUUUAAGUAACAAGGACAAGUUACGAAAUACUUUUUACAAUAUGAUUUCCUUCGUAUUUAAAACACCCUGUAAAACAUUGCUAUAUAUGUAGUGUGAUCUCAGGUGAAUAAAUGAGCAAGUGAGGACUACCUACUAAUCUUCAGAGAGCUAACUCAAACUUGCUCUGUUUUUUUGUCUCAAAUAUUACAUACUAAUUCUAAAACAAAGAGUGAAAGACCCUUCCCAGCAUAAUUUUUACCAAGGAAUAGCCUGUCAAGCGGACCGGUCCACCAUGUCUCUCCCUUUAACUUCAGAGCCCCAACCUCUGUCCAGAUGGUAUUCUCUGUCUCUUGCAUCCUCACCUUGGGACCAGUGUGCAGAGCAGAGUCAGUGGGCAGAGGCUGUGCAUGUGCUCUCUUCUUAGUUACAUGUCUGGAUUCGUUAAUCCCAUCUUCCCGGGGAGUGGGUAUCUACACAUACAGCAGCUUAAGCGCUCUGACUGCCCCUUGAGGGUUCUCCUAGGUGACUGUGAAAGUGCUGCUCCAUUCUUACCCUGGAGCCACGCCUGGGUCCGGCUUCCCCUCACUGUGGUCGCCCCUGGGGCUUCCCGCUCCCCCUGCCUGAGCUGCUUUGGUAAGUGUUCCAGCACAUCUCAUUUUGGUUUUUUUUUCUUUGAUCUUUGAGGAAGGAAAGAUUUUCCCUAUGUGUUCAACUUUUAAUUCCCCUUCUGCACAUUUUUUUUUAUCUUUUACUCAUUGGCCUAAUAAAGUUUGUUCUUAUCCUUUUAUAUGAACUGUCCACAUUAAAAGUUCUGUCGUAGUGUAUUCUGCAAAUACUUCCCUAGCUUUGCUGUUUGUGCAAAUUUCUUCAUGGCUUUUCCCCAAAACCUUUCGAUUUACCGAUGGGCCUGUCUUUUCCUUUCUUUGCUGAUUGUGUUUAUGAAUUCUUAUCUGUGUCCCCCUCCCCAUGUUCGUGUUAAUGACCUGUAGUAGACUUGUCUUUUAUCAUUUUUCCUUCAAUUACUGUUCCCUUUAAAAUUGUUUUCUUGUUGCAAGGCAUCAUUUCAACAACUGUUAUUUUGUUUACCUGCUUACCUAAUGUGAUUUCCUUAUACAAUGGGAUGUGUGAUUCCUGGGAAAAUUCUUACAAUUUAGCUUUCAGAUUUCUGCUUUACUUAGUUACUGAUUACAUGCCUUCCUAUCUGUGUUUUGCUUAGUAACCAUUAGUUAAUCCUUUUAUCCGAAGAGAACUACCUCUGUACUUACAUAAUAAAAAUUGUCAUAAGAUCUCUAAAAGUGAUGUUUUCCAAAUCUAGCCUCUUCCUCCCUCCUUCCCUCCCUCCCUUUCUCUUCCUGCCUUCCUCCCUGUCUCCUCUCUCUGGUGUGUAAUACUGGGGACUGAGUCCAAGGCCUUCACACUGAGCUACUUCGGUAACCCUUCAGAUUUUUUGAGACGGGGCCCCACUAAGUUGUCCAGGUGGGACUCAAACUUGCAAUCCUUCUGCUCUUGAUUAAUUUCAAUCAAGUUUAAACAGUCACAUUUUUGGUGACUACUGUAUUGUGCGGUGCACCCACAGAACUCCAUGGCGUAAUGACAGGGCUGCCCUCUACUUCCCAGAUCCACUCUAGGUGAGUCUGGCUGGCUAAUCAAGGAAAUAGAGAUAACACCUGUGACCCUUGCUGCCCAUCCAAAUCCACCCUACCGUAACUGUGUUUUGUGUCCUCUAAUUUUAAAAACCCCAUGUUUCUGAAUGUUUGCUCAUAUUUAACAAUUCUCCUUUAUUGCCUUCUUCUCAGUUACAACUAGGCUGUUUCCAGGAUUGAGCACAUUUAGGACAUCGGAAGCUCCUCACCAACCCCUUUUGCCUCCAGAGCUGUUUUUGCCAUACCGUUUUGGUUCCUGUGUUUGUUAUUUUACUGUCAAGCUGUUCCAAGGGAAUAAGCACCUGAAUUAACCCCAGCAACCUACUAUAAGAGUCUCAAAAAAGGAGCUGCGGGUCAAACACUUGCUGCAUUUAAACCCCACUGCCCCGGCCCCCGGCGGCCCCAUCCAUCCAUGGAGUCACAGCCACUGUGGCCCCGUGAUGUCGUCCCUUGCAGCCUGGGAGGCAAAGCUGACUUCCAGACCCUCGGCCUAAGAUGGGAUUUCAAGCAAAGCGUGUGUGAACACUUCUCCUUGCUGUUCCCAGAACUCAGGGGGAACAAGGAGAAAAAUACUGAAGAGGAAGAGGAGAGGAAGAAGGAAGGGGAAGGGAUGAAAAGGGCGAGCAAGAAGGAAACUACAGGAAUGCCUUCGGGCCCUCCCUGACUUGCCCCUUAUUACAUCUGAGACAAGGUAGCUUUCUUCUGUUACUCAAUUUUUAACAAGAGAAUAAGUAUGUAGUUGUGGUAUAAAAACAAUGAUCUUUACGUUUUUGUACGUCUUUUCCCAUAGAUUUUCAAUGCAGAUCUCCAGCCACCAUGCUCUAGUCAUUUCCCAUGUUUUCACGUGUUUUUUUAAAAACACCCCCAUUACCCUGCUAUUGGCAAUGUAUUUUCCUGUCGGCCUUAGAAACCCUUCUCAUUUUAAUUCAUGUUAUUGUUCUAAAUAAUCUUUGUAUUCCUUUUAUAUACACUGCAAAUUGUCUUCCCUACCUAGAAUAUAUUUUGUAGAAUCAGAAAUCCAAAAUGGUUCUAAGUACACAAGUUGUCAUUAUUCAGAAUAGCAUCCAGCUUGUGUUUCUUAGACCUGUAGACUUUCCAAGCCGGGAUUGGCUAUAUAAUGAGUGAGAGCCCAUAUACAAUGAGCAUGAAAGGCUUUCUGUUCACAAUUAUCAUGACUGAAGUGAGUGUGGCCUUUCGUGUGAUUGCACAUGGGCACAUCCAUGAUGCAGGCCCCGUUUCUCACUUUAUUAUGUCACACUGGGACUGGGAAUACAGCACCCUUCAGGCAAAACUAUGUGUCCUCGCAUUCAUCCCACUUCCUUUCUUGAUUCUUUCUUUGGAGGAAAAUCCAAUGUUACUUUUUUAGACCCAUAGGGAAUUCAGAACCUGCCUGUGUUAGGAGGCCGAGGGAGGGAUCUUGUUCAAGGAACACCAAGAAUUUCGAGGAAUGUGGUAUAUGUCCCAGUAUGUGUGUUGGACAUGUCACUCUGGCAGCCAAGGACAAAGGGGUGAAUAUGGAUUUGAGGAACAGACUCAACCAGAGGUCACGAGAAGCUGGUGACCCAUAGGAUGUGGGAAGAACAAGAAAACAGGGAAUAAGGGAGAAUCGUCUGCUCGGAACUCGAGGGGCUCGCUGGUCGUGGUGACAGUCACCGAGGAAGGGGAAGCAGGCUUGGUGGGAGGCGUACUACCAUUUGGAAAUGUUUAGUGUGAGUUGCAGUCAUUUCUCUCUUUUUAUUUUAAAGAUUUAAAAAACUAACAAAACAAGAAUGAAGACAGAAUCAAAA
Molecule: long non-coding RNA, 3701 nt
Organism: Chinchilla lanigera (long-tailed chinchilla)
Lineage: Eukaryota; Metazoa; Chordata; Mammalia; Rodentia; Chinchillidae
Exons: 2
Source: RefSeq, a predicted model, not a curated record